This 567-nucleotide ribosomal RNA is filed under the name uncultured archaeon. RNAcentral describes it as "bacterial SSU rRNA". It matches the Rfam family "Archaeal small subunit ribosomal RNA", at positions 312 to 879 of the family's 1478-position model. The record is from RNAcentral.
CGCGAAUCGCCCUUCGGGGUGCAGCAGGCGCGAAAACUUUACAAUGCCGGCAACGGCGAUAAGGGAACCUCGAGUGCCAGGUUACAAAUCUGGCUGUCGUGAUGCCUAAAAAGCAUUGCAUAGCAAGGGCCGGGCAAGACCGGUGCCAGCCGCCGCGGUAACACCGGCGGCUCGAGUGGUAACCGUUAUUAUUGGGUCUAAAGGGUCUGUAGCCGGCCGGGUAAGUCUCUUGGGAAAUCUGGCAGCUUAACUGUCAGGCUUUCAGGAGAUACUGCCUGGCUCGAGGCCGGGAGAGGUGAGAGGUACUUCAGGGAUAGGGGUGAAAUCUUGUAAUCCUUGAAGGACCACCAGUGGCGAAGGCGUCUCACCAGAACGGACCUGACGGCAAGGGACGAAAGCUAGGGGCACGAACCGGAUUAGAUACCCGGGUAGUCCUAGCCGUAAACGAUACUCGCUAGGUGUCGGCCACGGUGCGACCGUGGUCGGUGCCGUAGGGAAGCCGUGAAGCGAGCCACCUGGGAAGUACGGCCGCAAGGCUGAAACUUAAAGGAAUUGGCGGGGGAGCAC